RNAcentral lists this unclassified non-coding RNA (652 nucleotides) under Hevea brasiliensis (rubber tree). Lineage: Eukaryota; Viridiplantae; Streptophyta; Magnoliopsida; Malpighiales; Euphorbiaceae. The record is from RNAcentral.
AGUACAUCGAUAACGGUACCAAGUCGUAUUUAAACUAUAUGAUCAUGAGCCCUUAAUAACUUUUAUUUUGCCAAGGGUCUCUUAUUAUAUAGUUGAAAUCACACAUCUUUCAAUAUGGCUUCUGACCAAUAAUAUUGCCUCUAGGAUCAUAGUUGCAAAUGAUGAACGCACCACCGUUAUUUAUGCACUUCACUUUUGCGCAUCCAAGUCUAGCUGAGUUCUUCCAAACCACUUGAGUAUAAUGCCCGCACACCUUUCCAGAGACACAUGAAUUGGUGUCGUACUUGUAGUAUUGCUUCUCAUUCACCCAAAGCUUGACUGCAUUGAUGCCUGUCAAGUCAGGGCUACCCCAUGCAAGAUUCUCUCCGUAAGGCCCGUUUGAAUGUAUCAACUUACAGUCGCCCUUGCGUUCGUUGGCAUAUUGUUUGGAAUAAUUUGCCACCUUUUCGUCCCAUUUGAGAGGUCCGACACCAACUUGGGCACGAGCAGCGUUGUGGGCAUUGAGGAAGUCUUGAGGCGAGUUUUGAGCGAGAGAGGAAGGAAGCAUAGUGAAACUCAUCAAGACACAAAAUAGAAUGAAGGAGAGCUUGAGGAGAUCCAUUUUUCUUUUUUGUUCUAAUUUUUGAGUUAGAGAAUUAUGAGAAGUAUUGGU